Molecule: unclassified non-coding RNA, 240 nt
Filed under: soil metagenome
Description: partial contains 5.8S ribosomal RNA, internal transcribed spacer 2, and large subunit ribosomal RNA
Source: RNAcentral
AACAUCGCGCACCUGCGGGAACCUGCGGAAGGAUCAUUAAUGAUUGGUAGCUGUUGCUGACUAGUGUUUCUAGUAUGUGCACGCCACACCUUCAAUCCCACUUACACCUGUGCACCUUCUGUAAUAGAUCUAUGUGGAUACGGAGAUAUGAAAGUUUGCGCUCUCGUACUCUGUUGAAGCAGUCUACUACGUUUUUUUACACACACACAAUAGUCAUUGAAUGUAUUUUUUAUUCUUAUG